RNAcentral lists this non-coding RNA (770 nucleotides) under Watersipora subtorquata. The record is from RNAcentral. Lineage: Eukaryota; Metazoa; Bryozoa; Gymnolaemata; Cheilostomatida; Watersiporidae.
AAAGUUUUGCUCUGGCUUACAUAAAUAAAUCUCAAUUUUACUACAUGCAAGAGUUCUCCCACCAAUAAGAUUAUACCUGCUUAAAGCAAUUAUAACUAUAUAGAUAAAACAAUAAAUUGUCUCUCUUAUUAGCAGUGUUUGAUUUUUUAAAAAUAGCGAAAGCUGGAUAAAGAAAAGAAAUAUUGGGUGGAUAAAUAUGUGCCAGCACCCGCGGUUACACAUAUACCCAAAUAUUUAUUUAAGGUAAAAUGGUCAUAAAUUAAUUUAAGGAAAAAUUCUUAUAGUCAAACAUAAUAAAAAUAAAACCUAACCUUAAAAUUAUAAAACCAUGAAAUUAUCAAAUAGAACUAGGAUUAGAUACCCUACUACUAAAUUAACUAAAACUAAUUACCUGGGUAUUACGAGAAACCUUAAAACCUAAAGAGCUUGGCGGUCUUUUACAUCAUCAGGGGAGCUUGUCAAGUAAAUGAUAAUCCGCAUUAAUAUUCACCUUUUUUAAUAAAUAUGUUUGUAUACCUCCGUUUAGUCAAUCUCUAACAGUAAUGGCAAUAGAACUACUUCUCAACCUCAGGUCAAGGUGCAACUAAUAAAAAGGAUUCGAUGAGCUACUAUGUGUAAACAUAGAAUUUUUCUCGAAAGAGUAAAGGAAAUAGUACUUGAAAGUAACUAUCUCUUAAAACGAAAUAGUGAAACAUAAUCUAAAAGGCGUACAAAUCGCCCGUCACUCCCGUUAAUAAAUGGGAUAAGUCGUAACACAGUAGGUGUACUUG